AGCGAACGCUGGCGGCAGGCUUAACACAUGCAAGUCGAGCGGGCAUCCUUGUGGUGUCAGCGGCAGACGGGUGAGUAACGCGUGGGAACGUGCCCUUCGGUUCGGAAUAACUCAGGGAAACUUGAGCUAAUACCGGAUACGUGCGAGAGCAGAAAGGUUUAUCUGCCGAAGGAUCGGCCCGCGUCUGAUUAGCUAGUUGGUGAGGUUAUGGCUCACCAAGGCGACGAUCAGUAGCUGGUCUGAGAGGAUGAUCAGCCACACUGGGACUGAGACACGGCCCAGACUCCUACGGGAGGCAGCAGUGGGGAAUAUUGGACAAUAGGGGCAACCCUGAUCCAGCCAUGCCGCGUGAGUGAUGACGGCCUUAGGGUUGUAAAGCUCUUUUCUCCGGGACGAUAAUGACGGUACCGGAGGAAUAAGCCCCGGCUAACUUCGUG
Molecule: ribosomal RNA, 437 nt
Filed under: uncultured bacterium
Lineage: Bacteria
Description: partial 16S ribosomal RNA
Rfam family: Bacterial small subunit ribosomal RNA
Source: RNAcentral